This 465-nucleotide ribosomal RNA is filed under the name Vreelandella stevensii. Its description in RNAcentral is "partial 16S ribosomal RNA". It matches the Rfam family "Bacterial small subunit ribosomal RNA", at positions 338 to 795 of the family's 1533-position model. Lineage: Bacteria; Pseudomonadati; Pseudomonadota; Gammaproteobacteria; Oceanospirillales; Halomonadaceae. The record is from RNAcentral.
CCUACGGGGGGCAGCAGUGGGGAAUAUUGGACAAUGGGCGAAAGCCUGAUCCAGCCAUGCCGCGUGUGUGAAGAAGGCCUUCGGGUUGUAAAGCACUUUCAGUGGGGAAGAAAGCCUUGGGGCUAAUACCCUCGAGGAAGGACAUCACCCACAGAAGAAGCACCGGCUAACUCCGUGCCAGCAGCCGCGGUAAUACGGAGGGUGCGAGCGUUAAUCGGAAUUACUGGGCGUAAAGCGCGCGUAGGCGGUCUGAUAAGCCGGUUGUGAAAGCCCCGGGCUCAACCUGGGAACGGCAUCCGGAACUGUCCGGCUAGAGUGCAGGAGAGGAAGGUAGAAUUCCCGGUGUAGCGGUGAAAUGCGUAGAGAUCGGGAGGAAUACCAGCGGCGAAGGCGGCCUUCUGGACUGACACUGACGCUGAGGUGCGAAAGCGUGGGUAGCAAACAGGAUUAGAUACCCGAGUAGUC